This 224-nucleotide ribosomal RNA is filed under the name uncultured bacterium. Its description in RNAcentral is "partial 16S ribosomal RNA". It matches the Rfam family "Bacterial small subunit ribosomal RNA", at positions 524 to 746 of the family's 1533-position model. The record is from RNAcentral.
UACGUAGGGUGCAAGCGUUGUCCGGAAUUAUUGGGCGUAAAGAGCUCGUAGGCGGUUUGUUGCGUCGGCUGUGAAAUCCCGAGGCUCAACCUCGGGUCUGCAGUCGAUACGAGCAAACUAGAGUGUUGCAGGGGAGACUGGAAUUCCUGGUGUAGCGGUGAAAUGCGCAGAUAUCAGGAGGAACACCGGUGGCGAAGGCGGGUCUCUGGGCAACAACGUGACGC